Molecule: ribosomal RNA, 459 nt
Filed under: uncultured bacterium
Lineage: Bacteria
Description: partial 16S ribosomal RNA
Rfam family: Bacterial small subunit ribosomal RNA
Source: RNAcentral
CCUACGGGGGGCAGCAGUGAGGAAUAUUGGUCAAUGGCCGGGAGGCUGAACCAGCCAAGCCGCGUGAAGGACGAAGGUGCCAAGCAUUGUAAACUUCUUUUGUCAAGGGACAAAAUCAGGCUCGAGAGCCUGACCGAGGGUACUUGAAGAAAAAGCAUCGGCUAACUCCGUGCCAGCAGCCGCGGUAAUACGGAGGAUGCGAGCGUUAUCCGGAUUUAUUGGGUUUAAAGGGUGCGUAGGCGGGGUGUUAAGUCAGCGGUAAAAUCCCGGGGCUCAACCCCGGCGAGCCGUUGAAACUGGCUGUCUUGAGAUGUCGAGAGGUAUGCGGAAUGCGCAGUGUAGCGGUGAAAUGCUUAGAUAUUGCGCAGAACUCCGAUUGCGAAGGCAGCAUACCGGCGGCGAUCUGACGCUGAGGCACGAAAGCGUGGGUAUCGAACAGGAUUAGAUACCCCUGUAGUC